Molecule: non-coding RNA, 204 nt
Filed under: Indibacter alkaliphilus
Lineage: Bacteria; Pseudomonadati; Bacteroidota; Cytophagia; Cytophagales; Cyclobacteriaceae
Also listed under: 1 other name
Source: RNAcentral
UUUCAUCAACGCAAAGCAGGUUCGGUAGAGAUACUGAUUAAUAAGGAAUCAUGUGCAAAUCAUGAGCUGUCCCGCAACUGUAAGUGACCCGAAAAGUUUUUUGCCCAAGUGUGCCAUUGUCCAGAUGCUGAAUAUCGCAAAAGGAUGAGAAGGCCGGCAGAAAAUGUCACAAGUCAGGAGACUUGCCUAUUUUGUAUUGACAAA